This 17-nucleotide small RNA is filed under the name Arabidopsis thaliana (thale cress). Its description in RNAcentral is "ATSL291740". The record is from RNAcentral. Lineage: Eukaryota; Viridiplantae; Streptophyta; Magnoliopsida; Brassicales; Brassicaceae.
UUUGGAGGCAGAUUAAA